Molecule: ribosomal RNA, 440 nt
Filed under: uncultured bacterium
Lineage: Bacteria
Description: partial 16S ribosomal RNA
Rfam family: Bacterial small subunit ribosomal RNA
Source: RNAcentral
CCUACGGGUGGCUGCAGUGGGGAAUAUUGCACAAUGGGGGAAACCCUGAUGCAGCGACGCCGCGUGAGUGAGGAAGUAUUUCGGUAUGUAAAGCUCUAUCAGCAGGGAAGAAAAUGACGGUACCUGCCUAAGAAGCCCCGGCUAACUACGUGCCAGCAGCCGCGGUAAUACGUCGGGGGCAAGCGUUAUCCGGAUUUACUGGGUGUAAAGGGAGCGUAGACGGCUGUGCAAGUCUGAAGUGAAAGCCCGGGGCUCAACCGUGGAGCUGCUUUUGAAACUGUAUAGCUUGAGUACAGGAGAGGCAGGCGGAAUUCCUAGUGUAGCGGUGAAAUGCGUAGAUAUUAGGAGGAACACCAGUGGCGAAGGCGGCCUGCUGGACAGAAACUGACGUUGAGGCUCGAAAGCGUGGGGAGCAAACAGGAUUAGAUACCCUGGUAGUC